RNAcentral lists this ribosomal RNA (309 nucleotides) under Triticum aestivum (bread wheat). Its description in RNAcentral is "partial small subunit ribosomal RNA". Lineage: Eukaryota; Viridiplantae; Streptophyta; Magnoliopsida; Poales; Poaceae. The record is from RNAcentral.
AUGGCGAUUAGCGGUGGGCGGGGGUGGCCGGCGAGCACGGGCGGCGCGAGGGUGACCGGCAAGCACGGGCGGCACGGGUGGCCGACGAGUCAGGCGCGAGCGCGGGCGGCGCGGGGGUGGCCGGCGAGCAUGGGCGCGAGCACGGGUGGCGCGAGAGUUGCCGGCGAGCAUGGGCGCGAGCACAGGCGGCGCGGGCUGGCCGGCGAGGGCAGGCUGCGCGGGUUGGCCGGUGAGGGCGGGCUGCACGAGUUGGCCGACGAGCGCGGGCUGCGUGGGGUGGCUGGCGAGCACGGGCGCAAGCACUGGUGA